Molecule: transfer RNA, 72 nt
Filed under: Camelus ferus (Wild Bactrian camel)
Lineage: Eukaryota; Metazoa; Chordata; Mammalia; Artiodactyla; Camelidae
Rfam family: tRNA
About the family: Transfer RNA (tRNA) molecules are approximately 80 nucleotides in length. Their secondary structure includes four short double-helical elements and three loops (D, anti-codon, and T loops).
Source: Rfam by way of RNAcentral
GAGGGCAUAGCUCAGUGGUAGAGUGCAUGCUUAGCACGCACGAGGUCCUGGGUUCAACCUCCAAUACCUCCA